This 322-nucleotide ribosomal RNA is filed under the name uncultured cyanobacterium. RNAcentral describes it as "bacterial SSU rRNA". It matches the Rfam family "Bacterial small subunit ribosomal RNA", at positions 28 to 388 of the family's 1533-position model. Lineage: Bacteria; Bacillati; Cyanobacteriota. The record is from RNAcentral.
GAUGAACGCUGGCGGCGUGCUUAACACAUGCAAGUCGAACGAACCUUCGGGUUAGUGGCGGACGGGUGAGUAACGCGUGGGAAUCUGCCCUCAGGAGGGGGAUAACGGUUGGAAACGGCCGCUAAUACCCCAUAUGCCGCGAGGUGAAAUGAAUUUCGCCUGAGGAUGAGCCCGCGUCUGAUUAGCUAGUUGGUGGGGUAAAGGCCUACCAAGGCGACGAUCAGUAGCUGGUCUGAGAGGAUGAUCAGCCACACUGGGACUGAGACACGGCCCAGACUCCUACGGGAGGCAGCCUGAGACUCCAAGGCACACAGGGGAUAGG